This 518-nucleotide ribosomal RNA is filed under the name Listeria welshimeri. RNAcentral's name for it is "bacterial SSU rRNA". It matches the Rfam family "Bacterial small subunit ribosomal RNA", at positions 1022 to 1533 of the family's 1533-position model. Lineage: Bacteria; Bacillati; Bacillota; Bacilli; Caryophanales; Listeriaceae. The record is from RNAcentral.
GGGGACAAAGUGACAGGUGGUGCAUGGUUGUCGUCAGCUCGUGUCGUGAGAUGUUGGGUUAAGUCCCGCAACGAGCGCAACCCUUAAUUUUAGUUGCCAGCAUUUAGUUGGGCACUCUAAAGUGACUGCCGGUGCAAGCCGGAGGAAGGUGGGGAUGACGUCAAAUCAUCAUGCCCCUUAUGACCUGGGCUACACACGUGCUACAAUGGAUGGUACAAAGGGUCGCGAAGCCGCGAGGUGGAGCCAAUCCCAUAAAACCAUUCUCAGUUCGGAUUGUAGGCUGCAACUCGCCUACAUGAAGCCGGAAUCGCUAGUAAUCGUGGAUCAGCAUGCCACGGUGAAUACGUUCCCGGGCCUUGUACACACCGCCCGUCACACCACGAGAGUUUGUAACACCCGAAGUCGGUAGGGUAACCUUUAUGGAGCCAGCCGCCGAAGGUGGGACAGAUAAUUGGGGUGAAGUCGUAACAAGGUAGCCGUAUCGGAAGGUGCGGCUGGAUCACCUCCUUUCUAAGGAA